Halichondria panicea is the source of this 3960-nucleotide RNA transcript. It is a transcript of the gene named P-selectin-like, with no coding region annotated. The transcript is spliced from 8 exons. The record is from RefSeq and is a predicted model, not a curated record. NCBI's taxonomy places the organism in Eukaryota, Metazoa, Porifera, Demospongiae, Suberitida, Halichondriidae.
UUCAAACAAUGGAGAUUAAUCCAGUGUGUGAGUUCAUCAAAAGCAACCCUGAUAAUACCUCGCUAUCUGACAUCAGAACGAAUGUCCUACAACCUGCCAGUACUGCAAGGUACGAACAAGCUACAGGUUUCUGGUCAGACAUGCGUAUCUGCAACGUUUGCAGUGGUGACUGUGCUUACUUUACUCCUUCUUGCUGGAGUGGUAAUUACUGUAGUUUUGAGACCACAGGAUGCCCAGACUGAGUCUAACACAGAGCUUGAUUCCCUAAAACAAGAGCUGGAAAGUUUGAAAGAGUUUACGAGCCAGCAAGCGAAUGUAACCAACGAACUAACAAAGUUUAUUCGAUUUCAAGAAAGUGAGAUAAAAUUUUUAAAGCUUAAUUCACAGCAUUCGAAUGAUAAUACUACCGCGUUACGAAGUGAGAUUGAAUCUUUGAAGCAACAUUUUAAUGAGAGUAAUUAUCAGACACACAUUCGUACAUUGAGUUAAAACUUCACUACACUAACUGAAGUUGCCAAUGUACAACAAUUUGUGAUGGAAAAGAUUAACGAAACGAAACACAAUGUGAUGGAACAAAUUAAAAGUCUCCAGGCAUCUUCAAGUGAGAGCAUCCAAGAACUGCAUUUGUUACUUCAUGCUUCAAAUGAGACAACAUUCAUUUCUGAGAUUGAUAAUAUCUGGGAAAGACAGAACCAGGAUGCGCUUCACUGCAUGGUAAAGGUCAACCAGACACAAAAUGAAGCACAAAUAAAAACUGAAAAAAUAAAUGGUCGAAUUGAUCAACUUGUAAGAAUUUUACGUCAGAUGUGGAAGAAAUCAGAAUUCAAGUUGUUGCUAUCCUUAAUGCCACUGACCCACAAGAUGGACCGCUAACUUGUGAAAUACUUUCCCCACCCACCAAUGGAGGGGUCAGUAUAGAGGCAGGACCAAACUCACUGAGUGGUGGACUAGGCUCAGUGGCUACCUACACAUGUGACCCUGGCUAUGCUCUAGUGGGACAGAGGACCAGGACUUGUGAGGACAUCAAUGGAGGGACAGUCACCAUAGGAACAUGGAGUGGAGCACCACCAUCUUGUCAAGAAAUAUUUUGCUUGGAGCCUCCCACACUAGCAAAUGGAGAUGUUAUGUUGAGCAGAAUUCUACCUAUACUCCUGUGACUAUGGAUACGUUCUUGUCGGCCUGGUAAGCAGAACUUGUGAGGAUGUUAGAGGAGAGACAAUUGGAACUUGGAGUGGAAGUACACCAGCAUGUGAAGUGAUCGUUAGAUGCCAACCGUUGACUGAACCCACAAACGGAGAAGUCAGUGUUUCUACUGGUAUACACACGGAGUGAGCCUCGGUGUGGGAGCUGUAGCUACCUACUCCUGCAGCAAUGGCUAUAGACUAGUGGGACAAGCUACCAGGACUUGUGUUGUUAAUAGAGGUAGUUCAGGAACAUGGAGUGAGAGUGAACUUAUAUGUGAAGAGGUGAUAACAUGUCCGUCACUUGCACCUCCUGUCAAUGGAGUCCUCACAUUCACUCCUGGUGUUGAUAACAGCAACAUUGGACUGGGCUCAGUGGCCACCUAUUCCUGCAACCUCGGCUAUGUGCUAUAUAGUGGGACAAUCUACAAGAGUGUGUCUAACUGCAAAUGGUGGAGCUUGGAGUGGAAAUGUUCCAGUAUGUGAAGGUAUCCAUAAUUAAUUUAUUGUAUUAAAGGCUACAGUCACCCUAAGUGUCAGAUCUAGAGAAUUGAACCCCUCUCAGACAGAAGUGAGUGGGAGGCUUACCAAUGCAAGUUUUCUUGUAUUACUAGCUUUCACAUGCACUUAUUACUUACAUUUAGUUCCUAUAAGCCCUACUAAGCUAUUUUGUCCAGUUUAAGGUUAAAAACUCUCCAUGGCUAGCCUAUUAGCUAUAGCUAGUUAUUAAACAGAUACCGUAUAGCGGGAAAUUUUUGCGGGUACAACUUUUCGCUAUUUGGCUCCAGAGCCCUCAGCAGAAAUUUUCAUUAGUCUAAUAUUCGCCUGUGGCAUCCGCGGUAGACACAUUCAACACACGCGGUUAAACCCAAUGCUCGCGCACGCAGUUAAACAAAAAACCAACAACAUUAUUAUUUUCAGGUAAGUCUGCACAAGGUCAGAAGUCAUCGAUGCAAGUCCGGUGAGUACAAUUUGGUCCUACUCUAUACUAUGCUAGUGAUUUCAUCUAUUUAGACACUCCUCACCUGCACAGUGCAUCAUUGGCCAUUUCAGCAAAAGGAAUACGUUAGAAUGCAGACAGGAUUCCUUGACCUUUGACCGUGUGCUGCAAACUGACCUGAAAAAUUGUUUGUUUAAUUGCGCGCAUUGUGUGUCUCCUAAAGCUUUGGCGCACAAUUAAUUGGGAGGCGGGUGACCCUUCUCGGCUACCAUAAGAAUUCUAGUAGCAAUCCAAUGAUAAGUGUGGUGCAGUUUAUAAGAUGCAGAGGCGGUCUACUGUCCUCCACUAACAACCCCUGGCAAUGGUACAGGUAGUGUGACUAUCAGUUUUCUGGUGUCAACCUCCUCAGUGUGGGGUCAGUGGCUACCUACUCAUAUGACUCAGGCUGGGACCCCCACCAGGACUUGUGAGGACCCAGACACUGACUUAGUUGGAACAUGGACCGGAACAAUGUCAGAUUGUGAAGUCAGCUCUGUUGUUUGUCAGUUUGCUGUCGGAAAUGAACACACUGCUUGAGUAAACACUAUAAUCGCUCCACCAUAUUCAGCAGCUCUGUUGUUUAAUUUGUCAGUGUGCUGUCAGAGAUAGACGCACUGCUUGAGUAAACUAACCUAUCGUAGUUUUCCAGUUCAUUUUUGCUCAUUUGAUUUCAGUGAUUUUUUGUCUUGAAGUCACUGCCCCAGUUAAUGCCACCUUUAUCAUUUUCAACCACUUACCAACCCAACUUCUUGGUGUGGGGUCAGUGGCUACCUACUCAUGUGACCCAGGCUACACCCUCCUGGGAUCCCCUACCAGGACGUGUGAGAACCCAGAUACUGACUCAAUGGGAACAUGGACUGGAGCAAUGCCAGAUUGUGAAGUGAUUUUUUGCCCUGAGAUCACAGCUCCUGUUAAUGGCACCCUCAUCAUUUCCACACUCUCACAACCCAACUCUUUGGUGUGGGCACCACUGUCAUCUACUCGUGUGACCCUGGCUAUGUUCUGGUUGGUGAUCUCACUAUAGGACUUGUGAAGACUCGGACACUGGAAGUGUCGGAACUUGGAGUGGCAGUGGGGUUAUGGAAUCAUUGGAAUCUGUUCUGUUCUGUCCACAGAGGCUAAUAUGCAUUAUGGGUUGUAUCUGGUUUUCACUAACUGACACUGAAAAAUAAACACUAGUUUAUGGUCUUUAACUAGCCAAUAUGCUCCUUCUCAACUCUAUUAUCCUGAUUUAGGAGCUAAAUUAUGCCGAAAUACUAAUGUUAUAGAUGAAUAAAGGGAAGUAGGCAACAUUAUUUUUCUGGUAUACCUGGACUCUGCAGCGCUGAUGAGCAGAGAGAGAGACGAAAAUUGUACUGUUUUUUCUGGCAAGAAGGUUUGCACCAAGCAGAAGAUUCAGCCCAAUUAAUGCAGUUUUAUGAUCAACUGCAUGAGGAUCAACUGCAUGAGGCUACGUCAAUUCGAAGGUGCUAUUCCGAACAGAGCUGUCGUAGACUGUGAGGACACAACCUGUCGAUACAAACAGCUGGUGUGUCCCGAUCGAGACAACUGUACAAUAAACUGUAAUGACAUGGAACCGUACGCUUGUUUCAGGACUGGUGUUGCGUGUCCAAGUGUAUUGGGAAAUUGCUCUCUCAAUUGUGAUGAUUCGUACGCCUCCAUACAAGCUAACACCAUAUACCCCCAGGGGAACUGUAAUGUAAACUGUCCGAGUGGUUAGCUUUGUAUAUAAGAAGGUUCUGUACUGUGCUCUGUGUGUGUGUUCUAUUCUACCCUAGCUUGUUGCAAUCAAGAAUAUUU